UCAGUUGGUAGAGUGCUUGUCUAGCAUU
Molecule: non-coding RNA, 28 nt
Filed under: Rattus norvegicus (Norway rat)
Lineage: Eukaryota; Metazoa; Chordata; Mammalia; Rodentia; Muridae
Source: RNAcentral